This 5635-nucleotide long non-coding RNA is filed under the name Solanum tuberosum (potato). Its description in RNAcentral is "long non-coding RNA (STUB_LNC007216)". Lineage: Eukaryota; Viridiplantae; Streptophyta; Magnoliopsida; Solanales; Solanaceae. The record is from RNAcentral.
AAAUAUUCAAUUUUAAAUAUUAAUAAUUAAUUAACUAACAUGUACAGCAUAGUCAAACCUAAAAGGGCAUAUUAGUAUAAGAAAUAACACAAUAUUUCAAUACAAAAAUAUAUCAUAAAGUGUACUAUAGUUUUACAAACUAAAUCGAAAUGUCAUUCACUUCAACCAUUACAAUUACAAGAAACUUCAAAUCAUAUGCUUGAACUUCAAAUCACUAAAAAAACUUGCUUAAACUUCAAAUCGCUAGCAUCCAAACUCAAGAUAGGAUCUGCAACAGUUCAUGAAACUUCAGCGGGUUUCGCUAGGAUUACUGUCACUAAGCAUCUCCUGGCUGCAAAGAAAAAUACACAAUAAGCAACUUCAUCCAAACUCAAAACAUGGAUGAAUAUAGCAUACUUGAUGAAUUUAGUACUACCAGCCAGUUAAGUUAGAUGGUGGAACAAGACAUGUUAGUUGACAAGCAUAUAUUACAACAAUAACAACAUAUACAGUGGAAUUUACAAGCGGAUUUGGGGAAGGUAGUAUAUACGCACAAGUAAUGGCUUAUCCCCACUUACACUUGUCAGGGAGCCAAAGGAAAACAAUUACUAUUGUUUAUCUUCAGCAAAAUAAUACAACUUACAGGAAUAAGAGCCUGCUCAAGAAAUACAUCAGUAGCUACCGUUUUGUGUAACUCAGACCAACUGGGUCUGCGAUGGCCACAGGCCACUACUCCCCUGUACUACUUUUAGUUUUUAAUGAAAUGCUUCAUUUUUCCUUACAAAAAGAAAAUAACAACAAAUGGGUUCCUAGUUAGAUAAAGUCUAAAGAUUAAUUCAUUGGGGAAAGAAAUUAAUUAGUAAUAUCUAUGGCUAGAUCUCACAUUAGUUGUACCCUGAAAUGUACCUCUAAUCCUUAAUUCUUUGAAGUAUCAAAGUUCCAGAGAAAAAGAUUUUACGUAUCAAUGCUAACCACCUUGCCAUGCCUAUAUAACAUAACUAUAGGUGCAGUAAGUUCUCAAGACACUGUAAAAAUAUUCAUUAAACAACACCAACAACUAUAUAAAAGCUAUAACUUGAAAUGUAAAAGCCCAACUAGUGAAUUAGAAAAUAAGUACCCUGAAAUGUGCUUAUUCUUGUUGGUUGUGCUACAGACACUGCAAGGAAAGUACAAGCGGAGAUCAUAUCUUAUCGUCGUAACAUGUAUACUCAAUAUACUCGAUAUGGUUAGUCAAUCGAUAAAGUGAAACAACCUUAUGGUGCUACUUCUAAUCCUACAUGGGCUGAUGACGCGACAAGAAAGAACAUUUCAUCAUCAAACAAAUUGAAAACACCAUAUUUCUCCAACAUCACCACCUUAUAAGAUAGAAACAAAUAUCAUAUCUCUCAAAUUUACCAGAUUCACUUACAACUAACAAAUCAAUUAAGAAGUUAAUCUAUCCAACCAAAAAAAUCAAUUACUAGCAAGUUAUCCUCCAUGUAAACCUUAUUUAAUUAGAUUAUCCAUAUUGAAACCCUAAAAACUCUAAGUUUAGGGGAAAUCCGAAAAGCACAAUAGUUAAAAACCUUAGAAAGAGCUGAAGCUUCUCCAUGGUGCAGGACGUAGGGCAGCGAGCCUAUUGGAGCAUUCUUUUACUCCGAAAUCAGCGAAGAUGAAUUUCUAUUGCAGAUUUUCUGGAAAAAAAAAAUAGAUUCAAAAUAUAAAUCUCAAAACUUUUUACAAACAAUUUGAAGUUGAGAAAAAAAAACUCAGUUGAUUUAUGUAUUGAAAAUGCAUGAAAAUGAGGAAAGGAGAACUCAUUUUUGAAGCUUUCGAUAUCUAAAUUAGGGCGCAAUUGUUAAAUAGAGAGAAAUUGGGAAGUAAGAGAGGAGAAGAGAAGUAUGAACCAAUGAUACCGCCAAUCGCCACCGCCGCCUCCGUCUUUUCCUACUCCGACCACUGCUAUUGUGGAUGAAGACAGUGAUAGCUCCGCCACCAUGGAUUCGCUACCGUGCCGCCUCCAUCUCUUCCUACUCCAACCCUAAUUAUCAUAUGAAAACUGAUAGAGAAAAUAGAAUCGAACUUUCUUUUAUUUGGGGAUUAAAUGAGCAACGAUAUCGUAGAAUUUUAUUUUUUAGGAUUACGGAGGGUAAUAACCCCACAAAUUCUACUAAUAUUAUAGGGGUUAAUCAAACCUCCGUAAUUUGAUGUAAUUUGUGGGGUUGAGUUGACCUCUAUUAUAAAACCUCUAGGGUGUAACUUGUAAGUAAUUUUUUGUAGUGAUUGAACAGAUUGCUACAUUAUCAAACAAUUACAUUAACUGUUUUCUCAAUGUUGUCCAUGAAUUCAUACACAUAUAUAGCUAAUGUAAGUUAUUAACUUGUCCAGAAUCAUGUCAUAAAAGUUUAGGUGGCAUAGGAGUUGGCCCCAAAUAGGCAUAUGAGAAUCAUCCUUAACAUUUGCAGCGGAGCCUGCAACACUUAGAAUCGCCAGACACUGAAGAUUUUGAUAAUUGGGGAUAGAAUGAGAGAGAGCGAUAGUAACCAAAAACGAGGAACAAUUGAACUUCUCUAAGUUACAUUUUAUUUUUGGCGGAAUGAUUUGGGAGCUCCUGUAUUUGGUUCCGUUUGUAAGUUAGACCCUUCUACUUAUCAACUGAACCCUUAUACUCAUCAGAACGCAAUAUUUUAAACCUUUUUUUCAUUUGACUAGUGUGUGUGAAGUACAAUUGCUUACACGUGAAAUUUCAUGUUAUUUUUUAAUGACAUGUAAGAAAUUACAUGUUAAAAAUUAAAAAAUUCAAUUAAGCCACUUUUGUAAUUUCUGGAAAUUUUAGAUAAGCAUUUCUUUUUAAAAAUAAAUAAAUUCAAAUAAGUAUGUUCUUCAUAUUUAUUCCAAAUUGAAAACUAAAUUCAUGUCAAAUAGAUAAAAAAAUUCGCCAUUUGACUUGAAAAUUCAAAUACAAGUUUAACACCACAAAUCCAACUAAUCCCAAUCUAAUUUCACAAAUUCACAAGACUCAUUUAUUAUUUUUCAAGUUUUCUCUAACUUAUCAAUGGAGUUUUAAUUUUUCAAUAUCCACCAUUAUCCUUCGUGAUAAUCCAUACUUAGACCUCUUUUUUGAAGCCUAAUAAAACAAAUGAUAAUCUCAAUACUUUUCGACUAAAAAAUUAAAAUUUAAAAGGGUUAAGAGAGGGGUAGAUCUAAGUGGUUAGGGUGGGUGGCUGAUUUGUAGUGAAAAAGAAGUGUGGAUUGAGAAGGAAGUGGAUGAAGGAGAGAAUGAAGAGGAGGACAGUGGGUGUGGUGGAUGAUAUUCUAAGAAGAAGAAGAGAGAGGGAGGGCUGGGGAUGAAGGAGAGAGGGGUGGGGGUGGGGUGGAGAGGGAAUGGUUGAGGAAGAUGGGUUUUGAAUUAUUGUUUUUUAAAAUUGAUUAUUAUUAUUAGGCGAAAUGGUCUGGUGAACCCUUAUACUUGUAUCAAUUUGUAUUCUAAAUCCAAUCUUUCUACUUACCCUUUUGUCAUCUGGACCCUUAAACUCAAUAAAACACAAUUUAACAAAUACCUCUGACCAUUGACCAAGCUUAUGUGUCUUUAAGAUGGCUGAGUUGGCGAAAGUGUGUAACUUCACGCACCUUAAGGCGAGUGAAUAACAUUUUUAGGUUAAAAAAAAAGAAGAAACUGCGGUUAGUCUCUACAUAUCCAAAAACUCCAGGUGCUAACUACUGUGUGUCUCUGUUUUCUCUUCUGUAAAUGACGCAUUCCCAUGGCGGCGACUCCAAAUUUUCUAUUCUUUUUCUCCACUUCUGAACCAUUUUCUCCACCCUACUGUCACAUUCAUCACCACCAACACCAGAAGUAAUCACUAUUGUCCCCUUUAUUGCUUUUCUUCUUCACUUUCUCAUUUUGUUCUCUCACCAUUCUCAUUUUUUUCUCUUUACUCUAAGAUUACUAAGAAGAAGAUAAAUGACACCCAUCAACACCUAAUUAAAGUCGGACAAGACUUAUCUAUACAACAGGAAUCUUAGAAUGAUGAACAACCGGAGAUUACACAUCAAUCUGACCCGACCCAUUUCACCCAUUCUAUUUUUCUCGAGAUCUUACCUCCAAUUCACCUAAAUGGGUGAAAUUGUUUGGUAAUGAAUUGGGUGAUGAUGCCCCGAAUAAGAUUGAAUCGGGUCAUGAUGCUGAAAGGGUUGAAGAGGAUAAGGAUAAAGAGAGGACGAAGAAAAAGAAAUGGGCUAAGAAGAAGAGACCCAAUUCAAAUAGUGAAGAGGAAGGGAAGAGGGAUUAUGGGGUUGUGAAGGAGAAAGAGGAAUUGGUGUGUUUAUACCCUUUUACCAAGUCUUCUAGUUCUGAUAGGUCAAUUUGUUAAUUGCUUGAUUGAAGCAAGGAAUGAGCUACAACACAAGUCUGAGGUCAUUCAACGAAGAUUCACAAUAACGAAGGCUGAUAGGUCUUCCUCUGUUCGCCUACGGCAGCAGAUAUACAAGCUAGAAUUAGAACAAAAGCGAUUGGAAGAGGAUGUUUAGGUUGUUGUUUUUGUGGAGGUUGGAGGAGGAAAGAAAAACAACGAUGGUGUGCGGCAGAGAUGAAGACGGGUGAGGGAGAAAGUAUAUGUGAUUUCGCCGGCAAAAAUGGUGACGACGGCGGCGAUGCCUUUCUCCGGCGAUUUUGGUCAUGAAACAGUGAAAAUAGAGAGAAUUAGAUGUAUGGAAGUUCACUUUUAAAAUGCCAAAAAUAAAUUAAAAUGUUAAUAAUAAUUUGGUUAAUAAUUUUAAAAAAUAGCUAUGAAAUAAUUAUGACAUGGCAUUAAUAUAUCUGAUGUGGAUAUGACAUGUCAAUUAUAUAAAGGAGAGUGAGCUACACACAUGAUUGGAGGGGCUUAAAAGUUUCAUUUUAAUUGAGUUUAAGGGUUCAGGUGACAAAUAAGUAAGUAGAAGGGUUCAAAAUACAAACUGAUACAAGUACAAGGGUUCACCAGACCAUUUCGCCUUAUUAUUAUUAUUAUUUAAAUAUUUUAAAUGUAAAAUACUUUAUUUACUCGCUGUCAAACGCGUGUAAUCACGUAUUUUUCCAACUCAACAUUAUCAAUGUCACAUAUGUUUGGUCAAUGAUCAAAGGGAUUUAAAAUAUCGUGUUCUGAUGAGUUUAGGGGUUCAGUUGACAAAUUGAUAAGUAGAAGGGUCCAACUUACAAAUGGAGUCAAGUACAAGGAUCUCCUAGGUCAUUCCGCCUCUAUUUUGUUUUCUCACUGCAUUCUCAUUAUGAGUGUUGUCUUCGACUUGGGUUUAUAAGUCCAAAGAAGUGUAUAUGGUUGAUUUUACGUUGUAGUUCGAUGAUGUUUUGAUACCUAUAAAUAUUUAUGUUUGAGCAAUAGGUUCCAGAUCACAACAUUUAGCAUACAAAGACCGAAACAUGCAAUUAUUUCAUCUAUAUCGGAAUAUAGAUUAUGCAGUCAACAAGCAUGUACAAAAUCUAAAAAUAACGAUAAGUCACCAAAUUUUUAUUAGCAACACAUCGGUGAAACAAACAAAGAAGAGAUGGGAGAAAGGACUCACCAGACAUAAGCAAAUGAAACCGAUAAAAUCAGUAACACGAUGGAAGAAAGAAAUAAACAGGGGAUAAAAACUACUAAAAAAUGAAGUGAAAUUGCAAGAGGCAAUGCAUACCUAGGCUAGA